This 114-nucleotide ribosomal RNA is filed under the name Diaphorina citri (Asian citrus psyllid). Lineage: Eukaryota; Metazoa; Arthropoda; Insecta; Hemiptera; Psyllidae. The record is from RNAcentral.
GCCAGUAGAAAUAGGAUGUUGAAUACACCAGUCCCCAUUGCUAACUGAAGUUAAGUAUCGCGCCUGGUUGGUAUUCUGAUGGGUCACCAUCUAAGCAAUCGCGUGCUACUGGGU